This 23-nucleotide microRNA is filed under the name Homo sapiens (human). RNAcentral describes it as "hsa-miR-4746-5p". Lineage: Eukaryota; Metazoa; Chordata; Mammalia; Primates; Hominidae. The record is from miRBase by way of RNAcentral.
CCGGUCCCAGGAGAACCUGCAGA